This 301-nucleotide ribosomal RNA is filed under the name uncultured bacterium. RNAcentral describes it as "partial 16S ribosomal RNA". It matches the Rfam family "Bacterial small subunit ribosomal RNA", at positions 509 to 807 of the family's 1533-position model. The record is from RNAcentral.
CAGUCGCCACGGGAAUACGAAGGGUGCAAGCGUUACUCGGAAUUACUGGGCGUAAAGCGUGCGUAGGUGGUGGUUUAAGUCCGUUGUGAAAGCCCUGGGCUCAACCUGGGAAUUGCAGUGGAUACUGGGUCACUAGAGUGUGGUAGAGGAUAGUGGAAUUUCCGGUGUAGCAGUGAAAUGCGUAGAGAUCGGAAGGAACAUCUGUGGCGAAGGCGACUAUCUGGGCCAACACUGACACUGAGGCACGAAAGCGUGGGGAGCAAACAGGAUUAGAUACCCGAGUAGUCCCUGUCUAUUAUAC